GGGAGAGGCCGGGGAGGGAGGCCAGAGAGCCAGGGAGGACCUUCCCUUGGGGCCACCAGCUCCCCUCUACGCUGUCUUCCUCCUGCCCUGGCCUCCUGGCUUGUCCACCUGUUGCCAGUUCUCAGGGUCCAAACAGCCCAGUGGCCCAGGGGAGGGCAGCGGUGGCCCAGGAGGGUGUCCCUAGUGCCUUGAGGGUGGAAGGAAGCCACACACCACAUCCCCACCCUGUGGCCCCAGGCAUGUCCCUAACCUGGUGUCACCAGGCACGCAGCUCAGCCAAGUGCCCCUUGCACAAGUCACUCAGUGCUGUGAGCUCAUUCCCCGGCCCCACCUUGGGUGACAGACUGACCCACCCUGGUGUCCCAUCCCCUCGCCAUCCCCUGCCAGGCCCCGGCCACUUGGCCUGGCCCUUCACAUCCAGAUGGACGUUGGAAAGGCUUCGUCACUUGGGGGCCUCUGGGGAGGGUGGGCCAGCGGCCAGGCCGGUCCUCGCUCCACCUGGGCCGUGUGGUGAGCAGGCCUGGUCCAGCCGCCCCUGCCCCGGGGUCCAGGGCCAGACCCGAGGGGCGAAGCAGGCUGGUGAGUUCAGAGACUCGCCCACAGCCUCUGCCUUCCCUCCCGGGCCGAGGCCGGCCUUCCCCUCGGCAGGUCCGCUGUGGAGCUGCUGUUGAUCAGCAGCAGAGGGCGGGCUCUUGCUUCCCAGAGCCAGGCUCCUGCAUCACCUUGGCUUUGAGCAGUUCGGAUCUCGGGCAGGAGGUGGCCAUCUUAGAGAGAUGACCUCAAAUCUGAAUCUUACGUUCUUUGCUUGGCACUUUAAAGUGUCAAGGGGGGAGUUUGACACCCUGGCGACAGCACCUUCUCCCGUGUCAAGUAGGACAGCAAAGCUGCCGUUGCUCUUCCUGCUUUAUAGAGGAGAACUGGAGGCCCAGAGAGGCUGAUCGACUUGCCUGCAGUCACACAGCUGGGAGUGGGGGUAGGAGGAUUUGAACUCAUGGGCAGCUUGCAUCUCUCUGUGGGUCCCAGGAUGCAUGCAAGGAUGGCCCUGGGACUCUGCCCCAGAGGCUGCCUCUGUUACAGUGGGUCUUUUGGAUGAGAGUCGGGGCCUCCGUUCCCCUGCUGUGACCACGGUGUGGAGUGUCUCACGAGGUAUUUGUCUCCUGGAAACAGUAGUGAGCCGUGUGCCCGCGUCCUGUUAGACGCGUCCAGAGCUUUAGCUAUUCUAAUCUCACGGCCUCUUUAUAAGCCAGAGGUGUUGGCCUCUAGAUUUUGGAGGUGAGGAAAUGAAGGCUUGCAAGUCACCGUGCCUGCCGUGGGGUGGCCGGGGCUGUCCCCUGGACCAGGAGGCUGGACAGUCGAGGCCCUGAACUUCGAUCUUCAGAUCUGGAAGGUUCCUUGAGGACAGCCUACGGGUUGGCUUACACGUGGGAGACUGAGGCUCAGAGAGGGGACGUGAGCUGGGAGGGGCCUGGAACCUGGCCCCUCUGUUGCACUGUACCCCGUGGCCCCACUGUCCCUCUGUACCCUGUGGCCCCACUGUCCCUCUGUACCCCGUGGCUCCUGCCCCGGGAAUUGUCUGGCUCCUCUCUCUGGCACUAGAGCCAAGAAUGCCCCUUUGUCCCCGGCCUCUGCCGGUCCCCGCCUCAGUGCUGUGAAAGCUCUGAUUGUCCCUGGAGCCCCUGGAUCCGGGCUGCCCACACUGCCACCCCCGCCCCUGCCUGCUGUGGGCCCUUUGUGUCCCCGGAUCUCGGCACAACAGCCGGCUGUUGAUCCAGAAAGCCCAGCGUGACCGGGAGGGGGCAUGCCAGCCCACUGCCCGGGAGGACUGUCCCUGCCCCGCUGGCCAUGGGCACCACAGAGAGGGAAGGAGGCCCAGGCGGGGGGAUUCCAGGGUGGCCAGCCCUGGUCAGCGACCCUGUGACUCCCUGCUGGUCCCUUAGUGUCC
RNAcentral lists this long non-coding RNA (1942 nucleotides) under Marmota monax (woodchuck). Lineage: Eukaryota; Metazoa; Chordata; Mammalia; Rodentia; Sciuridae. The record is from RNAcentral.